GCGCGUGUAGCUCAGCGGAAGAGCGCCGGAAUUUAAUCCGGAGGCCGGAGGUUCAACUCCUUCCACGUGCGCCA
This 74-nucleotide transfer RNA is filed under the name Vannielia litorea. RNAcentral describes it as "tRNA-OTHER". It matches the Rfam family "tRNA". Rfam says of the family: Transfer RNA (tRNA) molecules are approximately 80 nucleotides in length. Their secondary structure includes four short double-helical elements and three loops (D, anti-codon, and T loops). The record is from RNAcentral. Lineage: Bacteria; Pseudomonadati; Pseudomonadota; Alphaproteobacteria; Rhodobacterales; Paracoccaceae.